Mus musculus (house mouse) is the source of this 1396-nucleotide long non-coding RNA. RefSeq annotates it as predicted gene, 40761. The transcript is spliced from 4 exons. Lineage: Eukaryota; Metazoa; Chordata; Mammalia; Rodentia; Muridae. The record is from RefSeq and is a predicted model, not a curated record.
CAGAUCACAAACGAUAUACGAGCCGGGGAACUGGUAUUUGCUUCCCUAUGUACUGGAUGAUCUUUAAGAAGGAAAAAUCUUAAUCAGAUUUACACCUUGACUGUCUUCCCUCUGAGGAAUUAGAAGCCUCUGUGUGCCAGAGAGAAGACUGAGAAGCAGGUUCCAUGGGGCUCCAGUCAGGCUAGAAAUGCCGGGAGUGUCACAGAUCUUAGAAGAGAAGCAAAGAGGUCUGGGCAGCCUGUGAGGGACAGGCAGCUGGGUUCCUGGGUCACCGGUCAGCUACAGUGGCAGUGCCAACGCCAGCGGCAGAGGUGGUGGCAUGAGCCUGGUCAGCCAGACAAGAGAGAGACAGGAAUGGAGAACAAGGAGAACAAGCCAAUCCCUGCUUCAGACCAUGCCAGAGCUCCUGCCCACUUCCCUCUGUGAUGGACUGGGACAUAGUGGUGUAAGCCAAAGAAACCAUUCCCUCCCCAUGCUGCUUUUGGCUGGCAUUUCUCACAGCAACAAACCCCAAAAUUGAACGGCAAUUUAAGGAAGGAAGGAUUUGCUUGAUCUAAAAACUCUGAAGGGCGUCCCUGCUUUUCUACUGAUUGGCUGACACAGCCUACAAGAUGAUGGGCUUCACCAUACCGUUUUCACACAUGUGCAUCACUGUAACCAUGAUGCUGUCAGAGGAGCAAUAGAGAACUCCCUGAGGCCCUUGUGGUCAUCAGAUUCCCUGAGCUGGAAGCACAGGUGUUGGCUCAUCACCUGAUAUGUGUGCUGGGAUUCAAACCCAGGGUUUCCAGAAGAGUAGCAAGCCCUCCUAAAUGCCUAGCCAUGUCUCCUGCCCCAAGACGGUGAUUCAUGCUGCAUAGUCAGCUGGCCACAUCAGCAGGAGCUGGGAAUCUCAACCCAAUGAGGUCCAGAAAAGGGCAGUGAGAAAUGAAUUGUGGGAACAUUCUCUGCAUUCGCCGAAAACAAAGAACAGAGUUUGCCCAGGACACCCAACUCUGAGGAGGCUGGAGCUGGCCAGGGUCACAGCUGGUAGGGCCACAGACAGUCAUGGCAGCAUUCUGAGGAGCUGAGUCUCUUCUCAGAAGUAGAGCUGCAGCACAGGCUGGUUUCCCUGGAAAAUGCCUCUGGAACCUUCUCUCAAGCUCUCCACACAUUGUGUUGCCACCAAAGAACAGCCGGGGUAUUAAGUAAAGAUGUGCAUAGGAGGACAAAGAGAAUCUCUCCCUAUGCACAGGGAGCAGAUGAACGGAUCUAGACGUCUGUGAGGUGUGGUUUGUUCAGCAGAAGGCUUAGGUUUGAACUCAUGAGUUCAAGGCCAGUCAGGGACACAGGGUAAGACCUUGUCAGGUAAAAAGAAAUAAAUAAAAAGGAAAAAUAAAAUAAAAUAAAUGGAAAUGAA